Molecule: ribosomal RNA, 688 nt
Filed under: Enterobacter sp.
Lineage: Bacteria; Pseudomonadati; Pseudomonadota; Gammaproteobacteria; Enterobacterales; Enterobacteriaceae
Description: partial 16S rRNA
Source: RNAcentral
CGUCAGUCUUUGUCCAGGGGGCCGCCUUCGCCACCGGUAUUCCUCCAGAUCUCUACGCAUUUCACCGCUACACCUGGAAUUCUACCCCCCUCUACAAGACUCUAGCCUGCCAGUUUCGAAUGCAGUUCCCAGGUUGAGCCCGGGGAUUUCACAUCCGACUUGACAGACCGCCUGCGUGCGCUUUACGCCCAGUAAUUCCGAUUAACGCUUGCACCCUCCGUAUUACCGCGGCUGCUGGCACGGAGUUAGCCGGUGCUUCUUCUGCGGGUAACGUCAAUCGCUGAGGUUAUUAACCUCAACGCCUUCCUCCCCGCUGAAAGUACUUUACAACCCGAAGGCCUUCUUCAUACACGCGGCAUGGCUGCAUCAGGCUUGCGCCCAUUGUGCAAUAUUCCCCACUGCUGCCUCCCGUAGGAGUCUGGACCGUGUCUCAGUUCCAGUGUGGCUGGUCAUCCUCUCAGACCAGCUAGGGAUCGUCGCCUAGGUGAGCCGUUACCCCACCUACUAGCUAAUCCCAUCUGGGCACAUCUGAUGGCAAGAGGCCCGAAGGUCCCCCUCUUUGGUCUUGCGACGUUAUGCGGUAUUAGCUACCGUUUCCAGUAGUUAUCCCCCUCCAUCAGGCAGUUUCCCAGACAUUACUCACCCGUCCGCCGCUCGCCGGCAAAGUAGCAAGCUACUUUCCGCUGCC